GUCAGUGACGGGCUCUGUCAGGGGUCAGGGGUGUGUAGCGGUGACCCUAGCGGGGCUGACACUGCCCGCCCGCGCGUUAAACCCCAAGCAACCAAGGUGUGUCGGUCUCAGCGGGACUCUCCGACUCGUUUGCUUCCCUGUGUUGACACCCUUACGGAUUCCUAACCUCUGACUCUCUUCCCUGUGCUGGGCAGGACCUUCCCUGCCGUCUUCUCGUCUCCGAUAAGAGGGAGAUUAAUAGGAGAAGAGGAAGCAGAAACUAUUAACACAAAUACCGCCUAAAACGGGGCAGAAACCCAGGCAAACUGAGUACUUCCCGGAAAUGGUUUGAGUCACCCCCUCUGAUCCCAUCUCUACCUGAAGGUUUGGGGAUGGGGUCGGUUUGGGGAACUAUCAGGACCAGCACAGGAGUCAAGAAUGUAGCUGUCACGCAGAUUCAUGUCCUGGCGGUCCCCACUGAGAAGAGUUUCUGGACGUAUAGAGCCGCCACGGUACAAAGGGAGACAUCCUUACGGUUUGGAGGUUUGCCUUCUGCAUGCAACUGUCUGUUACAGAAAGGAAGUUCCUGUUGGUUUUCAGAGCUUAUCUGAGGUGAAGGACUUCCCUGCAAGCUCGCGUGUCCCUGUGUGGUCGGAUUCCCUGGGGAAUACCGCUCUGCAAAGGUGAACAAUAUCCCAUUGUAUACAUGGACCACAUCUUCUUCAUCCAUGUAUCCAGAGAUGGACAGUUAACGUUGUUUUCAUAUCUUGGCUACUGAGAUGGUCAUUCCGACAGGUGUGAAGUGAUACCUCAUUGUGGUCUGGAUGUGCAUUUUGGUGAUAAAAAUAGUGACGGUCGCCUUAUGUAGCUGAUUGUUUCCAUCGCUGCGAAGAAACUGUACUUUAGUGUAGCCCCCAUCGACGUCUGCUUUUGCGGCCUCUGAGUUUGGUGCGCCGUGCUGCUGGCCCUGCAGUUCUGCUCAUGUUUCUGCUCUGCUGAUCUGUGAUUCUCUUGUUUGCCUAUCAGCCUCUCCAUUUGGUGGGGGCAAUAGGUUGCCCUGUUACUUGAGUUCUCUGAUUAAACUAAGGAAGUGAAUGGUUUUCAUUUUAUCUAGCUUUUUAAAAUUUUGUGGGAGGGCAUGAUCACUUCCAAGCCCCUUACGUGCUAGAGUAGAAACUGGAAGUUUCUUACCUUUAUGUUUUCAAAAUAUUGUUUCUGAAGUGAUAUAAUUAUUCACAUGAAAUACAUCCUGGGUCAUUCUGUGACAGGUUGAAUUUGUUCUCCUUGGUCCUUGUACCCACCCACAACAAAGAAUUGAAAGGCAAAGACACCGUAGCAAAGCCCAGGAAAGUUUUAUUUGAGUACACUGGACGGAGGAGUGGACCAGGGUCGGUGGAGACAAAGGCUUUGAUCUGUUAGGUGGGACACUUAUAUCUUGCAUUCUGGUUACGAGGCACUUCUUUGACUCGCGAGGUCUGGGGUCAUUUGAUUGACAGGUGCAUCUGUAUAGUCCUCCCUCUCAGGGAGCAUGCACCUCACCCAGCCAUCUCCUUUAGGGAAACCAAUUGUCCACGUAUUUGUUUUCCAGUAUUUCACUGUUGUUCUUUACACCAUUGUGGAUUAUUCUGUCCCUGAGUUUUCUUUAAUGUAGUGUUUCUGUUAUGCCUUCAAGUGGCUGAUUUUGUUGUCUUUUUCAAUGUCAAAUUGGCCAUUGAUCUUACCUAGAGUACUUUUCAACUCAGAAAUUGUGCUUUUCAUCUCUGAAAGUUCAAUUUCAGUUUUUUGAUAUCUGCCUUGUCUCUGCUUCUCUUUUGGAAUAGAUGGGACAUUGGUAUUUUCAUGUAUGCCUCUGUCUUAUUCUAAUAACCUCUCUUAGUUCUAGGUCAGUUUUGACCUAGCAAAUACCUUCAGUACGUGUCAUGUUUUCUGGAUGUGUGAGGAGAAUGGUUCUUCUUUAACAUUUUUUUCUUCGGUAUGGUUAUGUUAAUAUUCUAACACCAGUUACUAGACAUGAUUUUCCCACAUUGCUCUCUAUUUUAUAUUACAUUUUGUCUUGCCAGUGGGUUUCAGCCCCAGGCAAGUUCAUGAUAGGUUCAAUGAGACCAAGGAAUGACAGUGGAACGUUCUUGGGAUAAAAGGGUUUAUUACCAGGCUUGUUCUCCCGGUGAUAGGUUGUGCACUAGAACUACGUCUCCAUCUAACAGUCUGCAGGGUUGCAAUCCUCCUUGUGUCUGCCUGUGCCCACAGCACUGGGCAGAACUCUUUAUAUACUGACUCAGGCAAUAAUAGCUUAUGACCUAUGGGUUUGGACCCAUUAGCCUAGCAGUAGGUCCGCUACAUUACCUACCAAGUAGUUUAACUUCAGGUGAGGAUCCUGGCCAUAAGAACCCUAACUUUCCCCAUACAUUUCUCCAUACAUUUUGGUCUACUUCUGAAAUUUCUAUUCCAAUGAACCUGUCAGUCAAAUUCAUACAAAUACCACACUCUUUUAUUUAGAGAGGUUUUGUGAUAUAAUAUCUAGCAGAAGUAGUUUCCCUCAUGUUUUUUUUAAGGGUUUUCCUGAAUUUAUUUUUUGCUUAUGCAAUUAAAUCUCUACUCUCAGACAAAUAUCUGGUAUUAUAUAUAUUAGGUUUAUCUUUCUAUCCACAAAUAUUUCAUUUUUCCUUUUCUCCAAAUGUCAGUGUGUGUAUGUGUGUGCAUGUUUAUCAUGUGGUAUGCUUAAUAAUUUUGCACUUACACAGGCUCUAAAUAUUUCUUGUUACAUUUAUUUCUAUCAUUAUAUGUUUAACAAUUUCAGUCUCCCGUAAUAUAUUGUAACUG
Long non-coding RNA from Manis javanica (Malayan pangolin), 2799 nucleotides. RefSeq lists it as uncharacterized. NCBI's taxonomy places the organism in Eukaryota, Metazoa, Chordata, Mammalia, Pholidota, Manidae. The record is from RefSeq and is a predicted model, not a curated record.